RNAcentral lists this ribosomal RNA (253 nucleotides) under uncultured bacterium. RNAcentral's name for it is "partial 16S ribosomal RNA". It matches the Rfam family "Bacterial small subunit ribosomal RNA", at positions 524 to 776 of the family's 1533-position model. The record is from RNAcentral.
UACGGGGGGGGCAAGCGUUGUUCGGAAUUACUGGGCGUAAAGGGCUCGUAGGUGGCCAACUAAGUCGGACGUGAAAUCCCUCGGCUUAACCGGGGAACUUCGUCCGAUACUGGUUGGCUUGAGUUUGGGAGAGGGAUGCGGAAUUCCAGGUGUAGCGGUGAAAUGCGUAGAUAUCUGGAGGAACACCGGUGGCGAAGGCGGCAUUCUGGACCAAUACUGACGCUGAGGAGCGAAAGCCAGGGGAGCAAACGGG